ACAGAGGUCUCAAGCGUUGUUCGGAUUUACUGGGCGUAAAGGGCGCGUAGGCGGCCACCGCAAGUCGACUGUGAAAUCUCCGGGCUUAACCCGGAAAGGUCAGCCGAUACUGCGGGGCUAGAGUGCAGAAGGGGCAACUGGAAUUCUCGGUGUAGCGGUGAAAUGCGUAGAUAUCGAGAGGAACACCUGCGGCGAAGGCGGCCUUCUGGGCCAACACUGACGCUCAUGCACGAAAGCGUGGGGAGCAAACAGGA
Molecule: ribosomal RNA, 254 nt
Filed under: uncultured prokaryote
Description: partial 16S ribosomal RNA
Rfam family: Bacterial small subunit ribosomal RNA
Source: RNAcentral